GGGCUCCCCAUUCGACCCGU
This 20-nucleotide small nuclear RNA is filed under the name Arabidopsis thaliana (thale cress). RNAcentral's name for it is "snRNA_04410". Lineage: Eukaryota; Viridiplantae; Streptophyta; Magnoliopsida; Brassicales; Brassicaceae. The record is from RNAcentral.